GGAAGGAAGGAAGGAAAGGGGAGUGGAGCCCCAAAUUAGAGAACCAAUGGCUUAAUCACAAGGACCCCUGUACCUGCUUUGCUGAAUAUCUACUAACAUUGCACCUAUGCAGACACUGGUGUGGCCCCUGUGCAAGGAUGACAUGGAAACUUGGAAUGCAUUCCAUAUUUUCUUCAGGGUUGUUGAAAAAGUUCUGAAGAUUAAUAGUGAUGAUGGUUGCACAGUGUGAAUGUACUUGAGGCCACUGAACUGUACACUUAAAAGGACUAAAAUGGUAAAUCUUAUGUUACAUAUGCUUUACCACAAUUUUUAUUUUAAAAGCAAAAAAACACAGCCCAAAGGGAUGGAGAGCUGAAAACAUUAUAGAUAGGAAGUAGACAUCUAUGAAGUAAAAGUCACAUGAUUCAUGAAAUAAAUCACAGGCAAAUGAAAAACAAAUAUUAAAAUCCAAAUAUAAGCUCUCAGACAUGAUAUUAACCUGAUGUAAGUUCAGAGUAGUGGAAAGAGCAAGCUCAGAUAUCUCCUGGCUUCAAAGUCCAACUGUGCCACUUACUAACUGUGUGAACUUGGAUAAGACACCUAAACUCUGUAACCUGUUUCCCUUACAUAUAAAAUGAAAGUAAUGACAUCAUAUUCACAAACUUAUUAGAAGAAUUAAACAAGAUAGCAUGGGCAAGGCAUUUAGCAUUGUUGCUGGCUCCUAGUAGGUCCUUUUCUCAUGUCUUUUCUUCCUGGUUCAGCAUUAAAAGAUUGCAAAUACAAUAUUUUGUGGAAUAUAGAAACUAACUUGGAAAAUAAUCAAGAUAAAAUAAAAAACCAAAAAAUACAGAGACAGUUUUUGGAUAAUAGCUUUUGGCAGAGGCAGACCAGGUAUAGCAAAAACAGUAAAUUGUCGAAAAAGAUUUUUAAAAACACUAGCUGUAGGGUACUGGCCUAACUGCUGUGAUUAAGAAACCUUUGUCAUUCCUGUGCAAGGAUGACUUGGAAAUUUGGAAUGCAAGAUGGAAGUCGAUUUUCCUCUGUAGAAGACUUCAGAAAUAAACUGCAGAGGCAGCAAGUCACCUCCUCUGCCCUCAACACAAGAUUUUCAUCUUUGGGUCCAAUGUGUUAUUGUAGACCUGGCCUCAUCUAGGUAGCAGGGAGAGUGGGGAGGCAUGGACAUUUUAAGAGCAUAACUCAGAAAUGGCCUAAGUCACUUCAUUUCCACCCACAUUCUGUUGGCCCAAUCCAUGCAGGAAAGGAAACUGGGAGCAGUGAACCCAGCUGGUGGGCAUGAUUUUAGCUAGAUUUCAGAAUUCUGUUAUUCAAUAUGAGGAGAAUGCAUGUUGCUGGAAAAAGAGCCAUCCCUGUCAUGACCCAUGGUUCUCUAGUCUAUGACCACAGGCUUUCCAAAGGAGUGCAGCCACAUAAAGCCCAGUUUCCUGCUUAUUAAUUUAGUCAGUAAAUACUUACUACUUGCUAAGUGCUGGGCACCGUUCAAUAUGUUGCCAAUACAGCAGACUGCAAAACAGACGAGGUUCCUGAGAAAGCCAUGUUCAGCAGGCAGAGAAAGUAAACAAGAAAUCAGAGAAAACAUUGGAUACCAGUAAGUGCAAAGAUGGAAAUGAAGGGGGCAGAGGAGCAAGGGACUUGGUGGUUGCUUUGGUUGAGUGCUUAGGGUGCCUCUUCCUGAGGAAAUGACGUGUACAUUGAAACCAGAAUGACGGAGUUGCCUGGCAUCUCAACAGCAUGAAGCAGUAAAUGCCAGCUGGGGGAACUGCACGGUGGAAGUUCUGAUGGUGCAAAGAUCUUUCGGGUUUUGUGGUGUGGAAGGGCUGGUGUGGCUGGAUUCAGUGGGAGAUGGGAGAGAAGACAUGGAGGGAAACAGAAGGCAGCCAGGAGCAGACUUUGGAAGCAUGGGAAACUGGUCCUCUGGCAUUUUCCAGCAUUGAGCACAUUAUUUGCAAGGUAGGAACUCAAAUGAGUACUAAAUAAAUAAACUAAGAUAAAGACCCGAGGCUGUUGACAUCUACAGAUCUCCUCUGCUCUGCCAAUAGAAUGACUCUCUGUGCAUCCUGUACACACCCUUCCCUCCUGUUUCUCAGAACCUCUUAUAAGAUUGCUCUCAGUGUCUUUGAUGGUCCAAUGUCCCCUUGUUAAAAAUGGCCUUAGGAAAGGAACUUGGGGAGAGGGCAGGUAUCUGAAUAAAGCAACUGCACCUGCUCUUUGGCUUUCUCUACUCUGUUAAACAGCUCCAGUCCUCUUAAUUUCUCUUCCUGUGGUUUUGCAAAUCUGGAACCAGCCUGUCACCCUUGAUUAGGAUCAAGUUGGAGGAGGCAAUAUAACAGUGAGUGACAGGAUGGAAUACUGGUUAAGCCAGUAGCCUUUACAACCAGACUGCUUGGGUUUGAGAAAGGACUUAAAAUGUCACCAAAAUGAGGUCACAAAAUUCUUCAGCUCAGGGAAAUAUAAGGCAUGAGACUGCAGCCAACCAGGUCAUCCUGGCCUAGCAUGGCAAGUUUCUGUGGACUCUCUGACACCACACAGAUAAUAAAUAACCCGAGACGAAGCGUUUUUCUGCUUAUGACAGUUCUUACCUGGAAUGUAUAGCAUAAGUGACCAAUGACCAGCGAAUGUCCUGUGCUGUUCUUUUGACCAGUGCAGUUGGAACAACCAGUUUGCGAUCACCAUCUUUUUGUUCUUUUAAAAAUAAUCUAUAAAAACCCAGACCUCCCCCGCCUCCCCCAGAUGCCAUCUCAGGAGCACUUAUCUGGGCAACUAGAAUUGGAGUUUUCUUCCUGAGUGUCCAGCCCCACUUUGGCUGAAGUGAACUCUUGGUUCCACCACUUUCAUGCCUCAACUUGCUUUGGUUGACAGGUUUCAACCCCAGUUUGGCCAGUUACUAUCUGGGUCACCCUGAGUUAGGUACUUAGCCGCUCUGGUCCUCAGUUUUCUUGCCUGUGAAAUGGUGGAUAAUAAUUGUCCAUGACUGCAAUCCCAAAAGAUCCGAAAUGAGGAUUUUUUUUAGUAACUCAAUUGAGGGUAAAACCUGGCCUUAGGUGAUCUGAAGCAAUUUGGCAGGGAACUUGACAUGAAUUAAUUUUAUUUAUCCCACUUUUUGUAUUACUCUAUUGUACUGCGGAAAUAUUAAUGUAUUUGAUUAGGGGACAAACCUAGACCCUGCUGGGGGAGUUAUGAAAUUUAUAACCUAUGGAUCAUACUUCUUCUUUUUUAAUUAGCUUUUAGUUGUAGUUGUACACAAUACCUUUAUUUAUUUAUUUAUUUUUAUGUGGUGCUGAGGAUCAAACCCAGCGCCUCGCACGUGCUAGGUGAGCGCUCUACCCCUGAGCCACAACUCCAGCCUCUGGAUCAUACUUCUUAAAAUCAGAAUAAUUAUGAAUUCCAAAAACUAUUAGGCCUCAAGGAUUUCAGAUAAGAGGCAAACUGAUUUCAGAUAAGGACAGUACUGUCCUUAAAACAUGACAGCAAGAAUGAAUGCAAGAUUUCAGUUGUGAUCAUUGGACUAGCUCAAAAUAUCAUGAGGAAGGUACUUGGAUGUCAGUCAUCCCCCAAACUCACGUUUCACUAUUGUGGGUGAGAUGACAAAAUGUGGCUCAAAUAUAUCAUUAGGUGAAUUUGCAGGUGCUCCUCAGGGCAGUCCCACUGUGCUCUGGCUUUGGCCAAUCCAUAGCCAUUAGUUUCAGAGAUGAUUUCUCAUAAGUGGGGACCCUUGGGUACAAGAAACAGAAGUCUGCAUGAGCUAGCUCAAGCCAAAGGAGUCUCAAAGAACCCAAGAUCAAGAGGCAACUGGGCCUUAGGGAGGUUCUGGAACCAGAGAUAAGAGCACCACAGAAAUUUAAGAACUCCCUCCUUCUCUCUUCCCUACUGUAUGCAAAUCCAUUCCAUCCAUCCAUCUGGCUACAGAGUAGCUUUCUCUACUUUGUAAUUAACUUUUUAGAAAAUGACCACUGCCUGAACCCCCCGAGUCAUAUCAUCUUCAUUAUGAGCACAGUCCUACAGGGGUUGGACUUCUAAGUCCAAAUUCCAAACUUCUCAGGACGGGGGACAUUGGAAUAAGUCUUAUCAUUUCGAGAGAGGAGACACUUCAUGAAGGAAGUGGUCAGAUACUAUAGUUGGGCAAGAUUAUUUAAUUUUUCUGUGCCUAACUCAUCCAAGAGAACUCUCAGCAGUUUUUAACACUAUGCAAAAUAGUGUUAAAAAUUGUUCAUUGAAUUCAGCAGAAAGAUCAUUAAUGACCAUUUUGAGCAGGUAGAAGGAUAGCAGGGCUGAAGUUGUGGUACACUGAAUGUAAAGAACAGGAGACAGGAGGUACAGAUGACUCUCAUGAAUUUUUGAUUUAAGCCAAGCAGAUGAGUGAUAGAUGCAAUUAAUUAUUAUUGUUCAAUGUGGUUUAAGUGGCUAAGGGGUGGAGUGGUAUGUAGGGACAAGAUCACUUUGCCUAAACAUGGUUGCUACCUCAGUAACUUUGUGGAUGGGGAAGGGAUGGGAAGCUCCUGGUAGAAUGGGGGUAAAGAUAAUAAAGAGUGGAGAAUGGAAGAAAACAAGAGUGUGUGUGUACGAGUAUUUGUGUGUGUGUGUGUGUAAGCUACUCAAAAGACAUGGCGGGAAUAGUUACUGCUGUGGUUUGGAUGUUGAACAUCCCCCAAGGCCCAUAUAUGACAGCUUGGUCCCCAGGCACUGUUGGAAAGUGGUGGAUCUUUUGGGAGGUGAAAUCUAGAGGAAGGUUGUUAAUCCUGGGGGCUGCCCUUGGGAGGCAGUUCUCUGAGAGGGUUGUUAGGAAAGUUCAAGUCUGGCCCCCACUCAGUCCUUUCUCUACUGCUGGCUUGGGAUGUCAUCUCUUGCUUGCUCCCCAAGGACACUCCAGCCAUUGACAUCUGUCAUGCACCAUAAGAUGAGGCAAUUAAGGGGUGGUCCUCACCAAGCUGGCCCAAUGCCAUUUGGACUUUGAACACUGUGAGCUAAACAAACCUCCUUUUCUUUAUAAGUAUCCUAUCUCAGGUGUGUGGAUAUAGUAAUGAAAAGCUGACUCGUACAGUUUUGGAUUCACAACAGUCCUCUUUAAAGCUAGAAAAGUACCAAGUGAUUGGGCAGGUGGUCAGGUUGUGAGUAGAGAUGUUUCUGACCCCAUUAUCUUUCCAUCUGGGAAAUGUUUCAGUGGAGCAAGGCAAGGAAAAGACCAGCAAUAGCCCAUUUCGGCCCUUGGUUAGAUUUCCUAGGGAGUAAAAUCACACCUCCCAGUCCUACUUGCUAAUCACCAUGCCAUCAGAGUCUAUGUAACCCCAGCUCGAGGUAUUACCUAUGAGAUGCAAAAACUGAGUAUGCAGUUAGUGAAGAGAUGUCUGCAGUCUCAGUAAAACCAGGCCUUGUUAGGAAGAGCUGUGGAUUGGAAGGCAGGACACCUGGGUUUGAAUCAUAGCCACUGAAAACUUGGGUGCAUCACUUACUCUUACUGGACCUGAAUGUUCUUAUCUGUAAAACAGAGUUGUACUCAAUGUUUUCUAUCAUUACUUCUUGCUCUAACUUGCUAAGAUUCUCCUUGUCUUUUGAGCUUCAAGGUUUCAGAGCAUUCUAGAUCUUUACCAGAAAGUAUGAGUCUGGGGAAGUUGAAACCCAGAAGAGCCAGCUGCAUUAGUUUGCUAGGGCUGCUUAACAAACUACCACAGACUGGGCGGCUUACCAAAAGAACACUUAUUGUAAAGCUUAUCACAGUUCUGGAGCCUCCAAGCCCAACAUCAAGGUGUCUCCGCUGGGCUGCAAGGGAAUCUGUUCCAGUCCUCUCCCCUCUCUUCAGAUUUGCUGGCAGUCUCUGGCCUUCCUUGGCUUAUAGAUGCAUCAUCUAAUCUUUGUUUUCAUCUCCAUGUGGGAUUCUCUAUGCAUCUGUCUCUAUGUUCCCAUUAAAAAAAAAAAAAAAAAUCAGGACACCAGGCCAGGUCGAGUGGCCCACACCCUGCAAUCCCAGCAACUCUCUCUCUCACACACACAUACACAAAGGGCACCAGUUUAGGGCCGCUCUAAUGGCCUUAUUUUAUUUAUUUAUUUUUAUUAAAGCAUUGUAGUUAUACAUUGUCAUUGGUUCAUUUUGACAAAAUCAUACAUGCAUGGGAUUUGGUUUCAGUCCCUACCCUCUGUUUCCUCCCCUCCUUUCUCUCCCUAGUCUUCUUAUCUACUGAUUUUCCUUUGCUCAUUUAUUUUUGAUUAGAUCUUCUAUGUACACAAUAAAGGUGAAAUUCCCUGUGGUAUAUUUAUAUAUGCACAUAACGUGAUUUUGUUAAAUUCAUUCCACAUUUCUUCCCCUUUCUCAUCCCUCCUCCUUCCCUUUUGAUCUCCUUCUACUCCACUAUUCUUCCCUGAUUAUGAUAUUCCAUUCCUUUCCACCUUCUUUCCUUUAUUUUGCUGUAGCUUCCACGUAUAAGAGGAAACAUUUCACCCUUGAUUUUCUGAGUCUGGUUUAUUUCACUUAGCAUGAUGUUCUUCAUUUCCAUCCAUUUACCAGCAAAUGCCAUAACUUCAUUCUUCUUUGUGGCUGAGUAAAACUGCAUUGUGUAUAUAUGCCACAUUUUCUUGACCCAUUCAUCUAUUGAUGGGCAUCAGGGCUGAUUUCAUAAUUUGGCUAUUGUGAAUUUGCUGCUAUAAAUAUUGAUGUGGCUGCAUCCCUAUAGUAUGCUGAUUUUAGAUCUUUUGGAUAUAUACCAAGGAGUGGGAUAGCUAGGUUUUAUAGUGGUUCCAUUCCUAGUUUUUUGAGGAAUCUCCACAUUGUUUUCCAGGGUGGUUGUACUAGUCUACAGUCCCACCAACAAUGUGCAGCUGCCUUUCCCCCACAUCCUGAAUAACAUUUAUUAUAUUUGUUUUCUGGGUUAAUUGCCAUUCUAAUUGAAAUGAGAGGAAAUCAGUGUAGUUUUGAUUUACAUUUAUCUAAUUUCUAAAGAUGUUGAACUUUUUUUCAUAUAAUUGUUGGCCAUUUGUGUUUCUCCUUUUGAGAAAUGUAUUUAGUUCUUUAUCAAUGGCCUCAUUUUAAUUCCAUUAUCUCUAUAAAGAUCCUAUUUCUCGGUAAGGUCACAUUCUGAGGUAGUGGGAGUUAGUACCUCCAUAUAUCUUUUCUGGAAGACACAAUUUGACCUAUAAUACCAGGUGUAGUGCCUGGCUAGAUGUUUCUUCAUGGAAGAAAUGGACCAAAAGUAGAUUUGGGGAUUUUUUUUCCCAUUAGCCAAUAUGUUUUUCUUAUUUUUGUGCAAUACUCAGAGUUAUGUUUAUCUAUCUUCUUGCUUGUUCCCUCUGUUGUGUCUCCGGCUCCAAUUUAUAUAAAAUUUUACUUCAUUUCCCUCAUUCUUCCUAAUUGGAUCUUGGAAAAUAAAGAAAAAAAUAUGUUCUUUACUCUCUGGUUCACCUUCCAGAGAAAGAAUGCAACCAAUAUCUUCAUGGAAGCACAAUUCUGCUUUUAAAGCCUCUUUUCUUCUCUACAUUUCCAGGGUCUCAUGGAAAUCUUGGUGUUGAAGGGACCUUAUAUGUUUUCUAAGCCCCCAUGUGGCUUGCCACACCCUUAGGCAUCUUUGCAUGACCAUCUCUCUACUUCUGAAGUAUUAUGAUAAUGACUGUAAGCAUUAGAUGUAUCUAUGUUGGGCUGAAAUCCAUUUCCUCAUCUGUCACCAAGAGCAAUCUAGAGCUUGACAGAGCAAAGCCAUUCUGUGUUCCAAGUUCCAUGUUCCUUUGGGCAGCUCUGGAAGCAACACCAGUUACUCAGUCCCAGAUUCCUAAUAACAUUGAGACACAGAUUUCUCUGGUUUCACAAGUUAAUUAGCUAAAGUCAGGGUCUGUAACUAACUAGUUGAGAUAACUUGGGAAGGUUAUAGAACCUCUUUGAAUAUCAGGAUCCACAUCCUUGAACUGAGUUACAGCAAAAGAAUUUGGGUUUCAAGUGCCUGCCCUCUCAGUAGCUUAACUUUAAUGAACCUCAGUCUGUUAAUCCACAAAUGAGGACUAAAGUACCUGCCCUCAAUUCGUCAUAGGAUUGAUGAGAACAAAUGCGACAGUGUUUGUAAAAGUGAUUUGUCGCCUGUUACCGAUGUUGCUGCUGCUGCCAUUCUUAAGGGCCUGGCAGGAGGUUCUCUUUCUAGACUGGGUUAAGACAGGAAAUACAUUAAAAAAACAAAAUAAAACCACUUUUGCUCCAAGUCACCCUAAACAACUAGGAAGUGUUUGGGAUAUGAAUGCGUAGGAAAACCAGGAGGGGUUAUUCAAAAAAUUAUUUUCCUAAUCUAUGGCUCAAGUUCUGAGUUUUAGCCAGCUUCUAGAGGUGUCUGGGAAAGAGCCAAGUUCAGCUCUUAGAAGAUCAAAUUGGGGAGAAGUGCAUGUAUUGUUCUGGAAUAAAUUAAGCAAAACACAGGAUGACAACCAUUCUUUUGAUCCCUUCCUCUGUCCAAGUCAAGAACUAGCUCCUCUUGACUUUAGAGACUUUAAGAAAAAAGUGGACACAAAAGAGUUCUUUUGUAAAGAAUCACAAGAAAAUAAAAUGCUGGGUGUGUUCUUUCCUGGCCACCUCUCCUCUUCAUACCUCUUUCUUGUAGCAUUAAACAGAACAACAGAACUCUGUAUGCAACUCACAGAUGAAACCAUUACAGAACUAGGAAGGUAUUUCCCUCCCGGAUGUGGACCUGAGACUCCACAGGUAUGGCCCAGGGCUACUUCUCAGCAGCACCAAUGGUCAGUGGGGCUCCUCAUAGAUCCAUGCACACCCAUUCCAUUCCUGGGGUAUGCCAGGUGAGUUAUGACCUUCCUGGUUCUCAUGAUGUCCUGUUUUUGUCUAAGAGUGUCCUGUGGCCCUUUCAACCAGUCUAACACAAAGAGAAUGGGGCUGCUUUCAGGAGCCCGAGGGUCUGGCGUCUGUGCUGCUUACACAUGAGCAAUUUUAGUAUCCAGAGAUUCACAUCAGGAGCUAAUUAAAGACAAUCCUAAAUUAUUUAUCUGGGUUAGAUUUCUGUUCACGCUUCUUCAGAAUAAAAAUUCUAUUUCCCUGAUAUUAUCAUAAACCAUCUUAAUGAAUCACAAAUGUUUGUUUUUGUGCCUCUCUGUUAAUUUUUGUUUUGGCUCUGACCUUGGUUUAUAAAAGAGCAAGCUUCAAGAUUUCUACAGUCCUUGCUACCACCAAGUGUAAUCAGCUGAGAAAAUGUUUUGUAGCACUGGUAAAACCAUCUGAUAAUGGCCUGAAUUUAUAUUUAGGGAUAACAGAAUAGGGACUUUGAAGCCUUAUCAUUGAAAAACACUCAAAAGCAAGCAAAAUAUAAAAUACACAUAAUUUUUAAAAGAUCAAGUUACCCAUAAUUAGAGUACUGGUUCUCAAGCUUUUGUAUUUUUCUGUUACCUCAGUAGGUCCUUGGUGUAGCCAUUCCAACUCUGGUUUUUGUUUCUGUUUUUGUGGCACGGAGGAUUGAAUCCAGGGCCUCAUGCAAGUUAGGCAAACUCUCUGCCACUGAGCCACAUCCCUAUGCCUCAUCUUUAAAUUUUGAGCAGGAUCUUGGUAAGUCAUUGAGGCUGACCUGGAACUUGCAAUCCUCCUGCCUCAGCCUUGCUGAUGGCUUGGAUUAUAGGUGUGGGCCACCAUAUCUGGUUCAAACUCUGGGUUAUUUGCUUAUUUAUUUUUUUUAAACUUUGAGAAUAUUUAUUGUAGGAUUUGAUUUAGGGGGAAAAAAACCUAAUGAAACACAUCUAUGCAUGCAUAAUUGUGGAAAUCCACUGAAGGAAGGAGGAGUAAAUUAAAUAGAAGAUAUUGAGAGAUGAUUGAUGGAAAAGUGAGCUUUAGAUGAGUCAAAAAGUCUAAGAAAGAUUUAGUUAUACCAGAUUGGAAGUUGGGGAGAUCCUUCUGAAAAGGUUGAAGGAACAAAAACAAAACUAAACUAAAAUGACUUGAGUCAAACUCUGGUUUUGAAAAAGCUCUAGUGGUGAUUCUGAAAGACUCCUCUCCAAGAGUAAUUUACAAUUUCUAAUUCACACUACCAGCCCCAGCCCAUCAAAAUGUGAUGCUAUUGGCUCUUCCUAACUCAAUAAAGUCUCUUUAUUUUAUUUAUAAACUAAAUGAUAAACUUAUUUGGUGCAUGCUUUUGUAAAAUUUACACUAUUUUACAAAGUUUUGCUCACAGGCAAAGUUCUUUCUGUUACAACCCUUAUUUAUUUUUUCUUAGUCUUAAAUCCUGUUAGAGUUAAAAAAAUAAAUUUAGUAAGAAAUAAUUUGAAAAAAAUCUUUUUAAUGGCUGUGUAUAUGUGUUUUCAUAUUUACAACUGUGUUAGUCUGGGUUUUGGGGGUUGUAACAUCACAAUUCACCUCAAACCUGCUCAGGCAAAAAAAGUGAAUGUAUUGGCUCAUGCAGUGAUAAAGUUCAAGCUGUGGCUGCUUCAGCUAGACGCAGGGAUUUCAUUAAUCAUCCCAAUGGUUUUCGUAACCUGAGCCCCCCCCCCCCCUUUUUUCCCAUUGUAAAUAAACUUCAUUCAUGUGGCCAAGACAGAAAGUCACCAAGAGCUUGGGAUACCCCCCCUCCCCGCCCAGCUAAGCAGCCCUCGAAGGAUCUCGAUCCUGCUAUCAGUAUUAUCAGCUGCAGAAGGCUCCACUGGUUGCCUCUGGUUUGGGUCUUAUCUUGUGGCUGGUGCUGGGGCAGAGAUUGAUGGCACUGUGAUAGUAGGAGCAAAUGUGACUCCAUUUUGUUUUAUGACUUCAUCCUGUAAAACAACCAUGCCAAGUAGAAGAGUCAUGACUGGAGCAAGAUGUUCUUUUCCUUUUGCUAUAGAAACCUUUAAGAACACGGAACUACCUAAUGGGGUAUUGUUUCUGUAACUAGGGUAACGGGGCUCUGUUUCUGUAACUGGGGUGACUGGGCUAACUGUGAUUGGUUAGGCUUCCCUCCGCUUGAUUGCACUGUCCCACUUCUGUAACCUGGCUUGCUUGCAUUGGCUAGACCCCCUAAACAUCCCUUUUGCGGUUUUCAGGCUUAUAAGGAUUGCCCUUGCAAUUGUUCGGGGCUGAUCAGGGGAAUAGCUUUAUGUUCUGGUCAGCCGCCACUGGUGUGCUUCAAUAAAGGCUUGAUUCGAUUAUACGUGAGUGGUCUGGAAGUCAGUUUAUGAAACCCUGGGACGAAGCUUUAACUAUAACAUUUGGGGGCUCGCCCUGGAUCCAUUUCUUCCCUACCCUCACGCCAAAUUUGCCUCCAAAAACGGGGCUUUGGACCUCGGUCCCGGAGUAGAGGGGAGCUCCUGAGAGACGUUCCUCAGCCUCACUCCGAGGACGACUCCAAUCCAUCCUAGGACGCUCUGAAAAGCUCCUGCAGGCUGUCAGUUCUGGUGAGUCGACUCUUCUCUGGGGGAAAAGGUCAGAUUGGACACAGUCGCUUACACCUUCUCCGGGACAGGAUGAGACGUUGUCACUGUCUCCCUGGAGGUCUCCCUGUGAGACCUCAUCUGUCUGUAUCUGGGGCCCACUGGAGGCCUCCCUGGGAGGCCUCAUCUGUCUGGGGGCAGGAUGAGAUGGUCGUCUCUGCCCCAUUAGAGGUCUCCCUGUGUGACCUCAGCGAUUGUUGCUUGUCCUGUGUCUGUUUUGCUGUUUGUCGUUUCUCCAGCAUCCUCUUGCUGUUUGUCAUUUGUCCCAUGUCUGUUCGCUGGCUGUUUGUCCUGUUCUUCUAUCUGAGUGUUGUGUGCGGGCCCUUUUCCUGUUCUCAUAACCACUCUUCUUUCACCAGGACUCCUUCGAUCCACCGACAUCAGAAACAAGGAAAUGCUACAUUUCCUCUACCUGGACCCCUUUAACUUGUUUUCUUAACAAUUUUCAGGACUUUGUUGGUUUGUUUUUGUUUGUUUCCUUUGUGUUCUGUGUUAAUUUCUACCUCAGUUUGUUUCUAAUGGGAAAAAAUGGUUAAAAUGGUUUUAACUGUGCUCACUACAGCUUACAUUAAAAUGUAAAGUGCUGCCAACAGGACUAAAAAAAUUGUCAAAAGUAAAAGCUAAAGGUAAAAAGAAAAAGACAUUCUAGAGAUUGCCUUCAUUUAGGAACUGGGCCAGGUGGCCAACUGGGUAAAUCAUGUCAGUUCCUAUAGAGGACAGAUUAAAACUAAAUGUUUUAUAAAAUUAUUAUUCCUAUAUUGUAUAACAAAAAGCAUAAUUUUGUCUAGAAAUUUGGCUUUUGUCUCUCAGUAUUUACAAGCAUGAAUAACUCCCAACUAUUAAAAAAUGGUCUAAAGAUUUUUCAAUGUCAGGCUAAAAGUUGGUGGCUGCUAUCCAAGAAACCAGAAAAACCAGUUUAGAAUGGGACCCCAACCUGGGGGACUCUCCCAAGGAGACCAAUGAAACUGUGUCUUUGGGAAGUUCCUCCAGGGAAAAAUAAGUCCCCUUCGUUUGUCUAUGUUCCCUCAACUCUUUUCAGCUUUCAUGAACAGGACCACCUCAGAAAAAAGAAGUGCCCACCCCAGGUGACUUUACAUCCUGUUCUUCCUGAGCCAGAUUUUUACCAUGGACUCCUUGACCCACUCAGUUUCUAAAAAGGGACUCCAAACUGCUUGCCGUCUGCACAUCGCCCCCUUUCAGCUGGAAGUAGCAAGAACAGUCAUCGCCCUUUUCCCUUACAGCAGUUGGAGGUCCCUAAUAUUAGAAGAAAAAUUACGGUCAAUGUAGAUGUUUGCCAACAUGUCUAGCUCAGGAAGAUGUACCUGGAAACUGCUCCCAAGAUCACCCUGGGUGAUCUCCCAGAAAGAGACACUUGCUUCCACAACCCAACUUAUAAGUGGAAAAAACUCCCUGUUCACCAAAAAUUGUGCUUUCCAGGUCCCGCUUUGAACUCCUUGACUAAAUCUCUAAACUGUCAAUAACUCUGAACUAUGUAACCUACUAUUUUGAUGGAGUAAAGGGAAAAGAACACCUGGACUUAUAAUGGGGUAUUGUUUCUGUAACUAGGGUAACGGUGUUCUGUUUCUGUAACUGGGGUGACUGGGCUAACUGUGAUUGGUUAGGCUUCCCUCCGCUUGACUGCACUCUCCCGCUUCUGUAACCUGGCUUGCUUGCAUUGGCUAGACCAGCUGAACAUCCCUUUUGCGGUUUUCAGGCUUAUAAGAGUGCCCUUGCAAUUGUUUGGGGCUAAUCAGGGGAACAGCUUUAUGUUCUGGUCAGCCGCCACCGGUGUACUUCAAUAAAGGCUGGAAGUCAGUUUAUGGAACCCUGGGACGAAGCUUUAACUAUAAUAGCACCACCUAGAACAUGUGGAAUAAGGCAGGGCUCUACAGAAAAGGGGUGAAGUUGCCUCUGGAAUAAGGGUUGGCAAACUUUUCUGUAAUGGACCAGAUAGUAAUUUUUUUGAGGGGGCUUUAUGAGCUACAAAACAUCUUUGCUGUCUAUUCCUUUCCUAAGCUUUCUCAUUUCUGUACUGAGGAAUAAGUGCUGAGAGUUGAAUCAAAACUGAACAAAAAAGGACAGCAGGGAUAAAGGAAAGAGGGAAAGAAGAAAAACAGGGAAGGAUGGCAAGAGCAUGUUUUAGAAAGUAUGAAGGCCACAUUUCUAAUUACAAAACAAUAAAACUGAAGGCGCCCUAGAAAGGUGAAGUUGGAAAAAAGGAGAAAAAAAAUCCUUCAGUGAGAGCCAUAAGAAGACAUGCUCACAGAAGAGAUGGAAACCACAACCUAAUAUUUUAAGGCAACUAAAAUAAAGCAAGAAAAUGAAAAAAAGCAAUAUCAAAAAAGCAACACAAAUCAAAGGUGGAAGAAAUCAGAAAUGAGGUAUUUGAAAAACAGGAAUAUUUGUAAAUAUAGGUAACAGAAUUACCUCAGAAAAGAAUUAGAAAUUUAAAAAAUCAUUUCAGAAACUAAGGUUAAAUUAUCUACAAUAAAAGAACAAAUAAAUAUAUUAUCUUUUUUUUUUUUUGCAUGCUGGGGAUUAAACCCCAGGCUCUAUCACAAAGUUUUACUCCAGCCCAUAUAUUCAUUUUUUCUCAAAACUAAGACAGCUUUAUUGUCAUUUAUUAUAAAAGUAAAACAUAUUACCAUAAAAUUAAAGCAACAUAAAGUAUAAAGGAAUAUAAAUAUCACCAGAAUAUAAAUAUCACCAGAAUAUAAAUACCAUUGCACAGAGAUAUUGUUAAUAUUGUUAAUAUUUUGGAAAACGACCUCCCCCAGGGAGAAAACUUGACAUAUUUAUUUUUUUAAAAAUUUUUAGUUGUAGAUGGACACAUACCUUUAGUUUAUUUAUUUUUAUGUGGAGCUGAGGAUUGAACUUAGUACCUCUCACAUGCAAGGCAUGCACUGUACCACUGAGCCAAGACCCAGGACCAUAUAUUAAUUUUUAAAAAGGAGAUUAAAAGGAGGAAAAAUUGAGAAAGAAAAAAAAUGAAGAGAUCGAAUUUGAGAUAAAAUGAGCUUUAGAAAAUAUGUAAAGAAGUACGAACAUUAUGUAUAAUAAUAUUCAGAGUAUACAAAGAACUCAAAAAAUUAGACAAUAAGUUAACAAAUAACCCAAUCAACAAAUGGGCCAAGGACCUGAACAGACACUUCUCAGAGGAGCACAUACAAUCAAUCAACAAGUACAUGAAAAAAUGCUCACCAUCUCUAGCAGUCAGAGAAAUGAAAAUCAAAACCACCCUAAGAUACCAUCUCACUCCAGUAAGAUUGGCAGCCAUUCUGAAGUCAAACAACAACAAGUGCUGGCGAGGAUGUGGGGAAAAGGGUACUCUUGUACAUUGCUGGUGGGACUGCAAAUUGGUGUGGCCAAUUUGGAAAGCAGUAUGGAGAUUCCUGGGAAAGCUGGGAAUGGAACUACCAUUUGACCCAGCUAUUGCCCUUCUCGGACUAUUCCCUGAAGACCUUAAAAGAGCGUACUACAGGGAUACUGCCACAUCGAUGUUCAUAGCAGCAGAAUUCACAAUAGCUAGACUGUGGAACCAACCCAGAUGCCCUUCAAUAGAUGAAUGGAUAAAAAAAAUGUGGCAUUUAUGCACCAUGGAGUAUUGCGCAGCACUAAAAAAUGACAAAAUCAUGGAAUUUGCAGGGAAAUGGAUGGCACUAGAGCAGAUUAUGCUAAGUGAAACUAGCCAAUCCCUAAAAAACAAAUGCCAAAUGUCUUCUUUGAUAUAAUGAGAGCAACUAAGAACAGAGCAGGGAGGAAGAGCAGGAGGAAAAGAUUAACAUUAAACAGAGACAUGAGGUGGGAGGGAAAGGUAGAGAAAAGGGAAAUUGCAUGGAAAUGGAAGGAGACCCUCAUUGUUAUACAAAAUUACAUAUAAGAGGUUGUGAGGGGAAUGGGAAAAAAAAAAACAAGGAGAGAAAUGAAUUACAGUAGAUGGGGUAGAGAGAGAAGAUGGGAGGGGAGGGGAGGGGGGAUAGUAGAGGAUAGGAAAGGUAGCAGAAUACAACAGUCACUAAUAUGGCAUUAUGUAAAAAUGUGGAUGUGUAACCGAUAUGAUUCUGCUAUCUGUAUUUGGGGUAAAAAUGGGAGUUCAUAACCCACUUGAAUCUAAUGUAUGAAAUAUGAUAUGUCAAGAGCUUUGUAAUGUUUUGAACAACCAAUAAAAUAAAUAAAUAAAUAAAAGAGUAA
This is a long non-coding RNA of Marmota monax (woodchuck), 15549 nucleotides long. RefSeq lists it as uncharacterized. Lineage: Eukaryota; Metazoa; Chordata; Mammalia; Rodentia; Sciuridae. The transcript has 2 exons. The record is from RefSeq and is a predicted model, not a curated record.